UACGGAGGGUGCAAGCGUUGUCCGGAUUUAUUGGGUUUAAAGGGUGCGUAGGCGGCCCGUUAAGUCAGUGGUGAAAGCCUCCAGCUCAACUGGAGAACUGACAUUGAUACUGACGGGCUUGAGUACAGACGAGGUAGGCGGAAUUGAUUGUGUAGCGGUGAAAUGCAUAGAUACAAUCAAGAACUCCGAUUGCGUAGGCAGCUUACUAGGCUGUAACUGACGCUGAGGCACGAAAGCGUGGGGAGCGAACAGG
This 253-nucleotide ribosomal RNA is filed under the name uncultured bacterium. Its description in RNAcentral is "partial 16S ribosomal RNA". It matches the Rfam family "Bacterial small subunit ribosomal RNA", at positions 524 to 776 of the family's 1533-position model. The record is from RNAcentral.